Molecule: ribosomal RNA, 486 nt
Filed under: uncultured bacterium
Lineage: Bacteria
Description: partial 16S ribosomal RNA
Rfam family: Bacterial small subunit ribosomal RNA
Source: RNAcentral
AUUGAACGCUGGCGACAUGCCUUACACAUGCAAGUCGAACGGCAGCACGGGUGCUUGCACCUGGUGGCGAGUGGCGAACGGGUGAGUAAUACAUCGGAACAUGUCCUGUAGUGGGGGAUAGCCCGGCGAAAGCCGGAUUAAUACCGCAUACGAUCUACGGAUGAAAGCGGGGGACCUUCGGGCCUCGCGCUAUAGGGUUGGCCGAUGGCUGAUUAGCUAGUUGGUGGGGUAAAGGCCUACCAAGGCGACGAUCAGUAGCUGGUCUGAGAGGACGACCAGCCACACUGGGAAUGAGACACGGCCCAGACUCCUACGGGAGGCAGGAGUGGGGAAUUUUGGACAAUGGGCGAAAGCCUGAUCCAGCAAUGCCGCGUGUGUGAAGAAGGCCUUCGGGUUGUAAAGCACUUUUGUCCGGAAAGAAAUCCUUGGCCCUAAUACGGUCGGGGGAUGACGGUACCGGAAGAAUAAGCACCGGCUAACUACGUG